UGGCAUGUGCAUGCCAGCUUUUCAUCUUCCAAAGAAGCAUGUAGUUUGUUAUCUAAGCUUUCUGCAGUUUCUCUUUGCUGGAAUUUGCUUGGUGGCUUAGGGUGCUACAUUUGUUUGCUUCUCACUGUGAAUGGCAUUUCAAGUCACAUUCAUGGCUUAUCUAGGGUAUUUUGUCCUAGCUAAGAACUGAUCUAGAGUUUGUUCUCACCUAGUUUUCAACCGACUUUACAAAUUCAUAAAGCCAAUAAGGUAUGAGUUACCUGCUUCGGGGGUUUAUUUCCAUCACAGGUGAAACAUGCCAGAACAAUCAUACUGUUCUUUUUGCCUUUUGUGCAGGUGAAUAGACAAGUGAUACUCCCCAAUCCAUACUCUAGUGUCUACAUGCUCCUGUCACCUGUAACUGCAAUUUUUCUGCAAAGGAUGAUGUCAAGACUCCAAAAUGCCCCUGGAUUGAAUCAUGCUGGCUGAGCUACUGGAUGAAUAGUAAUCCUUAUAUAAAAGCUAUUACAUAUUCUGUGGAAGCCAUGUGACUUUGGAACAAUUUUUAUUGCUUGUUAUAAAUAAUCUACUACCAAGAGUGUGGAUUAAUGAUGUGAGAUUGUUAAAGCUGAAAUAUUAGUCUCAAAUUUGAAUCUUA
Glycine soja is the source of this 637-nucleotide long non-coding RNA. RefSeq lists it as uncharacterized. The record is from RefSeq and is a predicted model, not a curated record. Lineage: Eukaryota; Viridiplantae; Streptophyta; Magnoliopsida; Fabales; Fabaceae. The transcript is spliced from 2 exons.